This 74-nucleotide transfer RNA is filed under the name Pyrinomonadaceae bacterium. RNAcentral's name for it is "tRNA-Gln". It matches the Rfam family "tRNA". Rfam says of the family: Transfer RNA (tRNA) molecules are approximately 80 nucleotides in length. Their secondary structure includes four short double-helical elements and three loops (D, anti-codon, and T loops). The record is from RNAcentral. Lineage: Bacteria; Pseudomonadati; Acidobacteriota; Blastocatellia; Blastocatellales; Pyrinomonadaceae.
UUCGGGGUCGUCUAAUGGCAGGACGCAGGAUUUUGGCUCCUGAAAUAAAGGUUCAAAUCCUUUCCCCGAAGCCA